Molecule: ribosomal RNA, 450 nt
Filed under: uncultured bacterium
Lineage: Bacteria
Description: bacterial SSU rRNA
Rfam family: Bacterial small subunit ribosomal RNA
Source: RNAcentral
UGUCCAGACUCCUACGGGAGGCAGCAGUGGGGGAUAUUGCACAAUGGGGGGAACCCUGAUGCAGCGACGCCGCGUGGGUGAAGAAGCGCCUCGGCGCGUAAAGCCCUGUCAGCAGGGAAGAAAAUGACGGUACCUGAAGAAGAAGCCCCGGCUAACUACGUGCCAGCAGCCGCGGUAAUACGUAGGGGGCAAGCGUUAUCCGGAUUUACUGGGUGUAAAGGGGGCGCAGACGGCGAUGCAAGCCAGGAGUGAAAGCCCGGGGCCCAACCCCGGGACUGCUCUUGGAACUGCGUGGCUGGAGUGCAGGAGGGGCAGGCGGAAUUCCUGGUGUAGCGGUGAAAUGCAUAGAUAUCACGCAGAACUCCGAUUGCGAAGGCAGCAUACCGGCGCCCAACUGACGCUGAAGCACGAAAGCGUGGGUAUCGAACAGGAUUAGAUACCCGUGUAAAC